AUCUCUGUUUGCCUCGAAAAAGCGAGAAACUUGCCUUCCAUAUUGAUAGUGACUAGUGACUGCCGAAACCUGUGUAUAUGACUGCAUUCAUGAGUGUACAUUAUACUGAAGUUUGCAGAGUAUAAUUGCAUACUCGUCGUUAGUCGCGUGUAAGUUUACGUGUCCUAUAAGCCACGUCAAAAUAUUUGAUACAAUGGUGGAAAUCGAGUCUAUGACAAGAUAUGUCUCUCCCAUAAAUCCUGCAAUUUUUCCAUUACUGGCAGUGGUGUUACUAGGAAUUGGAAUAUUCUUUACAGCAUGGUUCUUUGUUUAUGAAGUUACUAGCACAAAAUUUACAAGGGACAUGUUUAAAGAAUUAUUAAUCUCUUUAGUAGCAGCAAUAUUUUCUGGUUUUGGUAUAUUAUUUUUACUCCUUUGGGUUGGAAUUUAUGUAUAGAUUGAUUUGAUUAAUGAGAAAAACUAAUUUUAGGAUUAUGUGUAAUAGCAUUUAAGAAAGUAUAUAAUAAUCUCACAUCAUUAAGAAUAAAAACAAUGUAUUUUUACUAAA
This is a long non-coding RNA of Bombus terrestris (buff-tailed bumblebee), 547 nucleotides long. RefSeq annotates it as transmembrane protein 258. Lineage: Eukaryota; Metazoa; Arthropoda; Insecta; Hymenoptera; Apidae. The record is from RefSeq and is a predicted model, not a curated record. The transcript is spliced from 3 exons.